This 6585-nucleotide long non-coding RNA is filed under the name Brassica rapa (field mustard). RNAcentral describes it as "long non-coding RNA (BRAP_LNC008820)". Lineage: Eukaryota; Viridiplantae; Streptophyta; Magnoliopsida; Brassicales; Brassicaceae. The record is from RNAcentral.
AUGGAUAGAGGAUGUUCUAAGAGGCUACUAGCUCUCCUUUGAACUGUGGUCGUCUCCCUGAGCCUAUGGGUUGGCGCCAAGGAUGGUUUGCUACUCAAAGACACAAGAUCACCUUGUACUGUCUAAGAUGGGAUUCACAGGAAUUCCUUCCUUUAAGUGAGAUCAAUGUUCUAGAGCUGAACAGAGAAAGCUAGAGACAAGACAACAAAGUUGACUGAAUAAUUCUUAGAUUGAAAGUUGAGAAAACAAGGCUGCAGCCCCCAUGUUCUUAAAGUGAAAAUCGAAAACCCUAAUGCUAAACCAAGGUGGUUUAAUUCUAAUUCUAAUCCUAAUUGUCUUUGGUUUAAAUUAAAUGAAAGCCCAAUAACCAAAACCCUUACAAAGUAAUUAAAUUAAACCAACAAGCUGGUUUAUCUUGAUCUCCUUGCCUUGAACCAAGGCCCACGGUUUUGGCUAUCUCCUGGAGCCUCUCCUCUUGUGCUCUCAGUCUUGAUCUGGUUACUGGUCCACUCCACAAGCUGGCUAGCUCAUUUGGUUCUUCUCUGCUCGAGUCUGGUUCUUCUCUGCUCAAGUCUGGCUCUUCUCUUCUCAAGUCUGGCUCUCCCUCAUCAGACUCACUCAGCUCUCCAAUGUCUCUACUCAUGGCUACACCAUCCCCUCCUCCUUUAAAAGGAUUUGACCUCAAAUCCAAAUCAUCUGCAAUAAAAGGAUCCAAGUCAGAAACAUUGAAAGUAGAACUGAUUGUGUAUUUCCCUUCAAGAUCAAUCUGGUAGGCAUUGUUGUUGAUUCUCUUCAGCACUUUGAAAGGUCCAUCUUUCCUUGGCAGCAACUUUGAUUUCCUCUCAACAGGAAACCUCUCUUUUCUCAUGUGAAUCCACACAAGAUCACCUGGUUCAAGUACUAGCUCCUUGCGCCCCUUGUUCUUCUGCCUCUCAUACAUCUUGGUCCUCUCCUCAAUGUUCUUCCUGACCUGUUCAUGCAAAGACAAAACAAACUCGGCCUUUUGCUUGCCAUCAAGGUUAGUUUGUUCUUUUAAAGGUAAAGCAAAUAAAUCAAGAGGAGACAAUGGGUUAAACCCAUAAACAACUUGAAAAGGAGAGAGUUUAGUAGCUGAAUGCACUGCUCUGUUAUAUGCAAACUCUACAUGUGGUAAACAAUCCUCCCAUGUCCUAAUGUUACUCUUAAUGAUGGCACGCAAAAGAGUAGACAAUGUCCUAUUGACUGAUUCAGUUUGACCAUCAGUUUGGGGAUGACAAGUAGUUGAAAACAAUAGCUUAGUUCCCAACUUUCCCCACAGAGUUUUCCAGAAAUAGCUAAGGAACUUAGUAUCUCUAUCAGAAACUAUAGUCCUAGGCAUACCAUGCAAUCUAACAACUUCUCUAAAGAAUAGAUCAGCUACCAAAGAUGCAUCAUCAGUUUUAUGACAAGGUAUGAAGUGAGCCAUCUUAGAAAAUCUAUCAACAACCACAAAGAUGCUAUCUCUUCCUUUCCUAGUUCUAGGCAAUCCUAAGACAAAGUCCAUAGAGAUAUCAAUCCAUGGUGCAGUAGGAAUAGGGAGAGGUGUAUACAAACCUGUUGGUUGGACCUUAGACUUGGCUUGCUUGCACACGACACACCUUGAGCACACACGCUCCACUUCUUUCUUCAUACUCGGCCAGUAGAAGUGCUCCUGCAAGGUGGAGAGUGUUUUGGCGACCCCAAAGUGUCCCAUCAGCCCUCCUGCGUGAGCUUCCCUAACAUACAAUUCUCUCAAAGAACCACUAGGAACACACAGGCGGUUAUCAUAGAAAAGAAAUCCUUUUACUUGAUAGAAUUUUCCACUAGCAUGUUUCUCAGAUUCUCUAAACACAUCUUUAAACUCAGGAUCAUUAGCAUAGCAAGAUUUGAUGUGUUCAAAUCCUAAGAGUUUAGUUUCCAUUGAAGAUAAAAGAGUAUACCUUCUGGAGAGUGCAUCAGCCACUACGUUCUCCUUACCUUUCUUGUAGUGAAUGACAUAAGGAAAGGUCUCAAUGAACUCCACCCACCUGGCGUGUCUCUUGUUCAGCUUCUGUUGCCCUUUGAGAUGUUUAAGGGAUUCAUGAUCUGUAUGGAUCACAAACUCCUUAGGCCACAAGUAAUGUUGCCACACUUGUAAAGCUCUCACCAAGGCAUACAGCUCCUUGUCAUAGGUAGGAUAGUUUAAGGUGGCGCCUCCUAGCUUCUCACUGAAAUAAGCUAUGGGUUUCUUAUCCUGCAUCAACACAGCUCCAAUUCCAAUACCAGAUGCAUCACAUUCAAUUUCAAAAGUCUUAGAAAAGUCAGGAAGUGCAAGUAAGGGAGCACUUGUUAACUUCUCUUUUAGCAUUUGAAAUGCCUCUUCUUGUGCUGGUCCCCAAGUGAAACCUACACUCUUCUUGACUACUUCAGUCAGGGGUGCUGCAACUGUACUGAAAUCUCUCACAAACCUCCGGUAGAAGCCAGCAAGUCCAUGAAAACUUCUGACCUCUCCAAUAGAUUUAGGAAUCGGCCACUCCCUGAUAGCCUUCACCUUUUCCUCAUCAACCUGUAUGCCCUGUGAAGUCACAACAAAACCUAAAAAGACAAGGUUAUCUGUGCCAAAAGAGCACUUCUUAUAGUUAGCAUACAGAUUUUCUUUUCUAAGCACAUCUAGAACUUGCUUCAAGUGAUUAACAUGUUCUUUCAUAGUCUUGCUGUAAAUCAGGAUAUCAUCAAAGUAAACAACUACAAAUCGUCCUAUCAAAGCUCUCAAGACAUGAUUCAUUAAUCUCAUGAAGGUACUAGGUGCAUUAGUAAGCCCAAAAGGCAUCACAAGCCAUUCAUACAAUCCUAGCUUAGUUUUAAAGGCAGUUUUCCACUCAUCUCCUUCUUUCAUUCUAAUCUGGUGGUAACCACUCUUUAAAUCAAUUUUAGAAAAGACACAUGAACCAUGUAACUCAUCUAGCAUAUCAUCUAAGCGAGGAAUAGGAUGUCUGUACUUAACUGUUAUGUUGUUGAUGGCUCUGCAGUCCACACACAUCCUCCAGCUUCCAUCUUUUUUUGGCACCAAGAGGACAGGUACAGCACAAGGACUCAUACUCUCCCUGAUAUGUCCCUUCUCCAUUAGCUCAUUGACUUGUUUCUGAAGCUCCUUAGUCUCCACAGGGUUGGUCCUGUAUGCUGGACGGUUUGGUAAAGUAGCUCCUGGUACAAAGUCAAUCUGGUGCUCUAUUCCCCUAAUAGGCGGCAGACCUAUGGGAUUGUCCUCUGGGAACACAUCUCUAUACUCCUGCAAAAGACACUCAAUCUCCUCUGGAAUCUCAGGAGCAGGGUUAGUAGUAGAGCUCAACAAUUCUUUGUAAACUACUAGUAUCAAAUUUGAUUGUUCAAUCACAGCAGUUUUGAUAUCUUUAGCAGUAGCAAAGAGGUUGAGUUUACUUACCUGGCUGGUCUCUUCAAGAAGCAAGGAUUUGCUGGCGGCCUUGGACUCUCCUCUCUUCAUUUUGAGAUGCAUCUGAUCCUGGUGUACCUCCUGAGGGGUCAUUGGCGCCAGGGUAACUUGUUUCUCCUUAUGGAUAAAAGUGUAUCUGUUGGUAAAGCCAUCAUGUACUGAUCUCUUAUCAUACUGCCAUGGACGUCCAAGAAGGAUGUGGCUAGCUUCCAGGGGUGCUACAUCACAAGUGAUCUCAUCCUGGUACUUUCCCACUGAUAGCAAUACCUUCACUUGCUUGGUGAUCUUUAAUCCUCCCUCAUCAUUGAUCCAUUGCAACAGAUAUGGCUUAGGAUGCUUGAACACUUGAAGACCCAACUUCUCCACCAACUCAGCACUUGCUACAUUAGUACAACUUCCUCCAUCAAUGAUCAAGCUACAAACCUUUUCUUGAAUCAAGCAUCUGGUGUGAAACAAGUUUUCCCUUUGCUCAUCUUCUUUGGGUUUAGGUUGAGCAUUGAGAAGUCUCCUGGUGACUAAUAGCUCUCCACGGACAGGGUACUCCACGCCUUCCUCAUCAGACUCUUGGCCGGCGUCCUCCUCUUCAGAUAUCACCUCCCCGUCGGCUAAGAUAGUCAUCACCUUCUUGUUGGUGCACUCAUUAGCAUAGUGACCAAAGCCAUGACACUUGAAACACUUAAUGUUCCUGGUCUUAGUAGGUGUGGCUACUCCUUUACCCUUGUCAUCUCUCUUGUUCUCCACUGAAGAAGACCCUUCUUUGGACUUAUCCCCUGGCUUAUCUUCCUUGGAGUAGGCCGGUUUUGAGGCAGGGGUGUAUGAAGACCGGGUAGAGCUCUUCCUCUUGUUCUGCUGCUCAAUCAAAAUAGCCUUAUGUAGCAGUUCAUCCAUGUCCUCAUACUCUUGUAGCUCCAACCUAUCUUGUAUAUCUCUGUUAAGACCUCCUUGGAAUCUAGCCAUAGUAGCUUCUACUUCUUCUUCUAAGUCAGCUUUCAACAUGAGUGUUUCCAUCUCCUGGUGAUAGUCCUCUACACUCUUAGAUCCUUGAGAAAGCCUUCUCAACUUCUGGUGUAGAUCUCUUCCAUAGUGAUUAGGAACAAAUCUCUUCUUCAUCACAGUUUUCAUCUCAAACCAUGAAGCUACCUGAGGCUCUCCAUUGCGUCUCCUGGUAGUAGCAAUCUGAUCCCACCAGCUAAUAGCAUAACCACAGAAUUCAGUAGCUGCUAGUCUCACUUUCCUCUCCUCAGUGAACUGUUGGCAGUUGAAAACCAGUUCAAUCUUCUUCUCCCACUCUAAGUAAGCAUCAGGAUCAUUCUUCCCAUGGAAUGGAGGGAUUCUAAGCUUGAGAUUGCCUAGGUUAUCAGUAGCUGGUCGCCUGCGGUUGUGAUUUCUACCAUGAUGACUAGCCUGAGAUCCAUCAUCACUUUCAUCAGCUGAAUCUUCUUGAUAAUGUUCUCCAUAAAUCCCACGACCCCUAAGCUCAACUCGUUGCCCUCUUAUAGGUCCAAUGCGUGCUCUCUGAACUCCAGCAGCAACCGCGUCCCUCUCUUGCCCUGCAUUAUCACCAGGUAAAGUUUCAUUAGCUUGUUGAACACGGUUGUAAGUGUUUUGCAUUCUUCUGGUUAUCUCAGCUAUCAUAGCCUCAAAUUGAACUUGGUUGAGGUUGAUUUGCUGGACAGCCGGUUCUCCUGAACUCUCAGGUUGCUUUCCAUCUCGCCUCUCUUCACUCAUUGUAACACAAAGCCAGGAACAAAAUUAUAUCUCUCUCUCACUCAAGUUUUCAAAUCGCCAAGUCUCAGCUCUUCCCACAAGUUCAGUUGAAAAACAAAGUUCUACACUUAAGAUCUAGAACUAAAACCCCAAUGAAUCAGAUAGGAAGUAUUAAGAGAUUUAGGCACCAGCUGACUUUACCACCCUGAGCUGGAUUUCUCCUCAGCUAGCUGGAUUACUCUUCAGCUAUAUAUAUAUAUUUUUUUUUUUGAUUUGGAUCAGAGAUCUCUUUUCUUUUUUUUUUUUUUUGAUUUGCAGGGUUGGCUCAGCUGGCUUACAACAGAUAGAAAGAUAAGAGAAGUGUUUGAUGGAAUGAAUGAUCUGAGUAGUCAAAUUGCAAACCCUAACCUUCAAGUGGCUCUGAUACCACUUGGUGCAGCCUGGGUAUGGCUUAAACUCUGGAUCACUUGAAGGUGGAUGGAUAGAGGAUGUUCUAAGAGGCUACUAGCUCUCCUUUGAACUGUGGUCGUCUCCCUGAGCCUAUGGGUUGGCGCCAAGGAUGGUUUGCUACUCAAAGACACAAGAUCACCUUGUAUUGUCUAAGAUGGGAUUCACAGGAAUUCCUUCCUUUAAGUGAGAUCAAUGUUCUAGAGCUGAACAGAGAAAGCUAGAGACAAGACAACAAAGUUGACUGAAUAAUUCUUAGAUUGAAAGUUGAGAAAACAAGGCUGCAGCCCCCAUGUUCUUAAAGUGAAAAUCGAAAACCCUAAUGCUAAACCAAGGUGGUUUACUUCUAAUUCUAAUCCUAAUUGUCUUUGGUUUAAAUUAAAUGAAAGCCCAAUAACCAAAACCCUUACAAAGUAAUUAAAUUAAACCAACAAGCUGGUUUAUCUUGAUCUCCUUGCCUUGAACCAAGGCCCACGGUUUUGGCUAUCUCCUGGAGCCUCUCCUCUUGUGCUCUCAGUCUUGAUCUGGUUACUGGUCCACUCCACAAGCUGGCUAGCUCAUUUGGUUCUUCUCUGCUCGAGUCUGGUUCUUCUCUGCUCAAGUCUGGCUCUUCUCUUCUCAAGUCUGGCUCUCCCUCAUCAGACUCACUCAGCUCUCCAAUGUCUCUACUCAUGGCUACACCAGUGAGAAGCUUGAUUUGGAUACAUAAAGUGGUGGAGAAUCAUCAGGAUGUUGAAUAAACCUCAUAGGAGUUGGGAUGAAGAAGUUAUCCCACUUUCAAAUCAGGUGAUUCCAGUUUCCCAUUUUGGGAAUAGCACAGCUUCUUCGUCCUUCCAAUCAAACCAGGAUGAAUCUCUUUGUGAGAAGCUUGAUUUGGAUACAUAAAGUGAUGGAGAAUCACCAGGAAGUUGAAUAAAUCUCAUAGGAGUUGGGAUGAAGAAGUUAUCCCACUUUCAAAUCAAGUGAUUCCAGUUUCCCAGUUUGGGAAUAGCACAGCUUCUUCG